This is a long non-coding RNA of Meleagris gallopavo (turkey), 2183 nucleotides long. RefSeq lists it as uncharacterized. NCBI's taxonomy places the organism in Eukaryota, Metazoa, Chordata, Aves, Galliformes, Phasianidae. The record is from RefSeq and is a predicted model, not a curated record.
AGCCGGAGCCGCUGGCACGGCGAUCUGCCGCUGCCCGUGAGCCCUUAGGGCUGUAACAGGCCUCGGUGCAGGCAGUGAGCGGGCGUCUGCGUCCUUAGCUGUGCGUUCUGCAGCCUUUUUUGGGUGCCUGCUGCCAGCCAGUGGCAGAAGUCUGUGGGUGAUGGCAGAGGAGGAGAACCAGAGAAAGGGAAACUUGGUCUGCGUGACCCUGACUGAUCUCUGAUCUUUUGCUGAUAAAGUUGUUCUUAUGGCUUCUGGCGAGCUUUCCAGCCAUAGUGGGUAAGCUGGUGACCCGGUGAGAUGCUGAAGUGAAACCGACAAACACGUAUUCUUCUGAUAUGGAAACAGCGGAUAUCCACAAGGGACCUCGAUGUUAUAUCAACAGGAUACCGCAGGAAAACAAAAGACGGUCAUAACUAACAUGUGGGCAAUACAGCACCUUUAUUACUUCCAAUUAUGGAGCUUUUGUUCCCUUUUUUCUCUGGCAUCUUCGGAUUGCAGAACAGAUUUUCAGUUCCUGUUCACUGCUUGGGUUUUGUUUUUAUACAAACAUUUUGUAACUUUUUCCUGUUGGCAAAAAACAACCAGGUGCAACUUUAAAGCAGUCUGAAUUCUGACUGCAUCACAGCUUCUGUUUAAUGAGAAUAUAGCUCUCUAUUAAUACCCAGCUUGAAUUUUCUCAUGCUAAGGGAAAGGGAGGUGAAACAACCUCAUAAUGCAGUAUUUAUCUGUUUUUGUUUGCAAAACUAAGUAUUUGUUUUGAAUGAGCAGCGGCAUUGCAAGGGCCACAGAGUAGCAAUGUCAGACCUGAGGCACAUCCUCUAAAUUCUACAGGAUUCAGGUAUUUCCAGGCUGCUAGGGUUUUGAGUAGCACAUCAUUUUGGCACAGCUCUGAAGUGUAGUGGGUUUUUCUGAGUAAGAAUGAUGUUGAUCCUGCUGUGGAGCAUUUGAACUUUAAUUGUAGGAGGAAUGGCAGUUGCUGGUGGCUCACAGCUGAGAGAAGGACAAGCUCUGUUACAACAUGUGUGUGGUGUGGCGAUUAAACUCAACAGUAAUGUGACCUGAUGGUGUUGUGUCACUAACCUUGAGGACACAAAGGAAGAUAAACUAAUUUGCUGCCAUUACAUAAGAGUUGAGUACAAAGCCAAGAAUGAGGUUUCGGCACAGAUAAGGAUUUCAUUCUGAAACUUUCAAAGAAUUUAGACCUUCACAGCUUUAUUCAUAGGAGUUGCAGUUCCUUCCUGCUGCAGUUUGCCAGCAAGUUCCCGGUAAUCAGGUGCCACAGGCCUGCAUUCUUUAGCUGUGCCUGGGGGUAGAUAGAAAGCAUGAGCAUGGGAUUGCUUGCUGACUGUUACACAGUAAUAAUCCCGGUACCUGAAAGGGUUUUGGCCUGUGUCAGCUAGCAAUCUCCAAGGUGAUGUGUGGGCAUGGUUCAGGGCGUAGUAUGCCUCCAAAGAGGAGUGUGGGUGAGGGUGGGCAAUCCUCACGCUCCGUGGUCAUACUGCAACGUCUGAGCCAGUUUCAUACUGCGUUUCCUACUUGGUGACAAGUCCUUUACUUACCUUAUUGCAAUGGCUGUGUAAAGCGUUCAGUGCUCUAAGUUUACUAAACUACUCCACACUGGGGAGAAUUUAAGGGAAACGCAAAGUGAUUUAUUUCACCAAAAGGUAGGUAGGUAGCUGUAUUUGAAGACAAAUAUGGCAAAUUAACCAAACAAGAAAAUAUGCUAUUCUACCUGAUUGUCUUCAAGAUCUUUGUUUCAGCCUGAAGGCUGAGCUGAGGGGCAUGGCAAGCUGCUGGGGUGGGUUCUACAGCUAUUAGAACUGCACAGUGGCACUCAAACAAGCUCCCUUCCCCAGAAGGCACGUUCCUGGUUAGGAACGCUUCUUUGAGAGAAGUUUUAUGUGUAUUUUAUACAUCUUUACAUGCCUACGGGCCUUCUGAGGGCAAAUGCCUCACUGUGUCACUUCUGGCUCCUAACACCCGUACAUUUGGUCAAGACCUGAUUUGUAACAGCCUUGCUAAUGAAACACCAUUUGUUGUAGCUCGACUCCUUGUUGUGCAAAGGCAUGACAGGAGUGCAGUAUUCCUGAUACCUGGACAGAAUUAAUGUGGCUUCUUGAUAAGCCUGUCACUAUAAUGUAUAAAUAAAUAGUCUUUGCCACAAGGGCUUUAGCACUUCA